GUUUCUUCCAUCGUACGGUAAAAACGAAUUUUGACAAGCCGAAAACGAACGAGAGCAUCCACAGAAGCAAACAUAACCGCAACUUGAAAAAAAUUUGUUCGUUGAAACUUCAAAUUGAGGUUGUGUUGCCUUGUCUGUGGAUGACGAUUGACAUUUUGAACGGCCUUGGAAGAAACCUAUAUGAAUGAGUGACGGCUUGUUUGCUCUGAAGAU
This is a long non-coding RNA of Bradysia coprophila, 213 nucleotides long. NCBI's taxonomy places the organism in Eukaryota, Metazoa, Arthropoda, Insecta, Diptera, Sciaridae. The record is from RefSeq and is a predicted model, not a curated record.